GAUGAACGCUAGCUACAGGCUUAACACAUGCAAGUCGAGGGGUAACGAGAGGAAAGCUUGCUUUCCUUGUCGACGACCGGCGCACGGGUGAGUAACGCGUAUCCAACCUGCCCCCAACUAAGGAAUAACCUUGCGAAAGUAAGACUAAUACCUUAUAAUUUCCUCAGAUGACAUCUGACGAGGAAUAAAGAUUUAUCGGUUGUGGAUGGGGAUGCGUCUGAUUAGCUUGUUGGCGGGGUAACGGCCCACCAAGGCAACGAUCAGUAGGGGUUCUGAGAGGAAGGUCCCCCACAUUGGAACUGAGACACGGUCCAAACUCCUACGGGAGGGAGCAGUGAGGAAUAUUGGUCAAUGGGCGAAAGCCUGAAGCAGCCAAGUAGCGUGCAGGAUGACGGCCCUAUGGGUUGUAAACUGCUUUUAUACAGGAAUAAAGUUAGCCACGUGUGGUUAUUUGUAGGUACUGUAUGAAUAAGGACCGGCUAAUUCCGUGCCAGCCGCCGCAGUAA
This 506-nucleotide ribosomal RNA is filed under the name uncultured bacterium. RNAcentral's name for it is "partial 16S ribosomal RNA". It matches the Rfam family "Bacterial small subunit ribosomal RNA", at positions 28 to 523 of the family's 1533-position model. The record is from RNAcentral.